This is a long non-coding RNA of Lolium perenne, 291 nucleotides long. RefSeq lists it as uncharacterized. The record is from RefSeq and is a predicted model, not a curated record. Lineage: Eukaryota; Viridiplantae; Streptophyta; Magnoliopsida; Poales; Poaceae.
AGAUGCAAGAGCAACCAAGGCGCGGCAUAGAGGCGGGAGCCCCACAUCUCUGCCCAAGCGACACCAACUCCGCCGACAUUCGAUCAAGUCGCUGGGGUAUGAGCCCGUCGCCGCUCGCCGCUGUCCUCUCCUGCUUCAGGUGUUGCAGAGAAGACAACACGCGGCAUCGACCAUUUCCUGGGGUACCUUGAGGGCAUAGAGCAAGUUUAUUUACAAAGUUGUAAUUUAAUAGUUGUAAUUUACUACUAUUUGAUUGUUCAACUAUAAGUUAAUGUAACCAGGAUGUUUGUU